RNAcentral lists this transfer RNA (70 nucleotides) under Coralliophila squamulosa. Its description in RNAcentral is "tRNA-His". It matches the Rfam family "tRNA". Rfam says of the family: Transfer RNA (tRNA) molecules are approximately 80 nucleotides in length. Their secondary structure includes four short double-helical elements and three loops (D, anti-codon, and T loops). Further hydrogen bonds mediate the characteristic L-shaped molecular structure. tRNAs have two regions of fundamental functional importance: the anti-codon, which is responsible for specific mRNA codon recognition, and the 3' end, to which the tRNAs corresponding amino acid is attached (by aminoacyl-tRNA synthetases). tRNAs cope with the degeneracy of the genetic code in two manners: having more than one tRNA (with a specific anti-codon) for a particular amino acid; and 'wobble' base-pairing, i.e. permitting non-standard base-pairing at the 3rd anti-codon position. Lineage: Eukaryota; Metazoa; Mollusca; Gastropoda; Neogastropoda; Muricidae. The record is from RNAcentral.
GGUCAAGUUAGUUUAAUUGUAAAACAUCAGCCUGUGGAUUUGAAAAUAAAAUAAUCUUUUUACUUGACCA